UUUGGUUUCACUGUCAUGAAAGACAACUAUUGAAUAAUAGUCUAAACAAAGCGUAUCGCAGAAUCAGAGAAGAUGACCUGUGACUUUCUCGUUGGUUCAUCUGUGAAUUGGUCUUCAGCUUGUGGAAAAGGCAAAAGGUGUAAAAUGCUAAAGUCAGACGGCAAAACAUGGCUCAACAACGCCGCCAUGGGAGACUCUCGGCUGCCUGUUUCACCAGCCUGUAACUCCAUGUCCAUCUGACCUGUCACCAUCUCCAAAACCACCAACAGUGUUAUUACUCCUGUCAAAUCAAACAUGAAGAACUGGCCUACUUGUUAAUAUUUCAGCCAACUCUUAUCCAUUCAAUAAUAAGUUGGGAGUCCAGCCCUAAAGAAAGAUAAAUGCUGUUAAACACCAGGAUUAAAACUGUUUCAAACUC
Micropterus dolomieu (smallmouth bass) is the source of this 418-nucleotide long non-coding RNA. RefSeq lists it as uncharacterized. The record is from RefSeq and is a predicted model, not a curated record. The transcript is spliced from 2 exons. Lineage: Eukaryota; Metazoa; Chordata; Actinopteri; Centrarchiformes; Centrarchidae.